This 1757-nucleotide ribosomal RNA is filed under the name Manihot esculenta (cassava). RNAcentral describes it as "SSU rRNA". It matches the Rfam family "Eukaryotic small subunit ribosomal RNA". Lineage: Eukaryota; Viridiplantae; Streptophyta; Magnoliopsida; Malpighiales; Euphorbiaceae. The record is from RNAcentral.
CCUGGUUGAUCUUGCUAGUAGUCAUAUGCUUGUCUCUCAAAGAUUAAGCCAUGCAUGUGUAAGUAUGAACUAAUUCAGAUUGUGAAAUUGUGAAUGGGGUAUCUGCUACUCAAAUAAUCAUAGUAAUUCUAGAGCUAAUACGUGCAAAAAAUCCCAACUUCUAGAAGGGAUGCAUUUAUCAGAUAAAAGUUUGAUGCAGGCUUUGAUGAUUCAUGAUAACUCGACGGAUUGCAAGGCCAUCGUGCUGGUGACGUAUCAUUCAAAUUUUUACCCCAUCAACUUUUGAUGGUAGGAUAGAGGCCUUCCAUAGUGGUGAUGGGUGAUGGAGAAUUACGGUUUGAUUCCAAAGAGAGCUUGAGAAAUGACUACCAUAGCUAAGGAAGGCAGUAGACACGCAAUUUACCCAAUCUAGACACGGGAAGGUAGUGACAAUAAAUAAUAAUACUAGGCUCUUUGAGUUUGAUAACUGGAAUGAGUACAAUCUAAAUCCCUUAAUGAGGAUCCAUUGAAGGGCAAGUCUAGAGCCAACAGUCGUAAUAAUUCUAGCUCCAAUAGCCUAUAUUUAAGUUGUUAUAGUUAAAAGCUCAUAGUUAGACCUUAGGUUAGGUUGACAGGUUCAACUCACAGUGUGCACUUGUCAGCUUGUCCCUUUUGCCGACGAUGCGCUCCUAGCCUUAGCUAGUCGAGUCGUUCCUCCGGCAAUGUUACUUUGAAGAAAUUAGAGUGCUCAAAGUAAGCCUGUGCUCUAGAUACAUUAGCAUAGGAUAACCCAUAGAAUUUUGUUCCUCUUGUUUUGACCUUUGCGAUCAAAGUAAUGAUUAAUAGGGACAGUCAGCGGUAUUCAUAGUUCAUAGUCAGAGGUAAAAUUCUUGGAUCUAUGAAAGAUGAACAACUGCAAAAGCAUUUACCAAGGAUGUUUUCAUUAAUCAAGAACGAAAGUUAGGGGCUCAAAGAUGAUCAGAUAUUGUCCUAGUCUCAACCAUAAACGACGCUGACCAGGGAUCAACAAAUGUUGCUUUUAGGAAUCCACUGGCAUCUUAUGAGAAUUCAAAGUCUUUAGGUUUCGGAGGGGAGUACAGUUGCAAAGCUGAAACUUAAAGGAAUUGACGGAAGAGCACCAUCAGGAGUGGAUUAUGUGGCUUAAUUUGACUCAACAAGGGAAAACUUACUAGGUCCAGACAUAGUAAAGAUUGAUAGACUGACUGAGAGCUCUUUCUUGAUUCUAUGGGUGGUGGUGCAUAUACGUUCUUAGUUGGUGGAGUGAUUUGUAUGGUAAUUCCAUUAACAAAUGAGACCUUAGCCCGCUAACUAGCUAUGCAAAGGUGACCCUCCACAGCCAGCUUCUUAGAGGGAUUAUGACCUUUUAGGUUAAGAAAGUUUGAGGCAAUAAUAGGUCUGUGAUUCCUUUAGAUGUUGUGGGCCACAUGUGCACUACACUGAUGCAUUCAAUGAGUUUAUAGCCUUGGUCGACAUGCUCAGGUAAUCUUUGAAAUUUCAUCAUGAUGAGGAUAGAUCAUUGCAAUUGUUGGUCUUCAAUGAGGAAUUCCUAGUAAGCAUGAGUCAUCAUCUCGCAUUAACUAUAUCCUUGCCCUUUGUACACACUACCCAUUGCUCCUACCUAUUGAAUGGUCUGGUGAAGUAUUCAGAUUGUGACAAUGAGGGCAGUUCACCACCAGAAUCAUGAAAUGUCCAUUGAACCUUAUCAUUUAGAGGAAGCAAAAGUUGUAACAAGGUUUCUAUAUGUGAACCUACAGAAG